Molecule: long non-coding RNA, 2019 nt
Filed under: Fragaria vesca (wild strawberry)
Lineage: Eukaryota; Viridiplantae; Streptophyta; Magnoliopsida; Rosales; Rosaceae
Description: long non-coding RNA (FVES_LNC005568)
Source: RNAcentral
AAGUUCCGGCGAAGUGAAGCUUUGGACAGUCGGACCUUUCGGGUGGCACCGCUCUCUCACGGCGGAGCUAGGGCUCCUCUCACCGGUCCAGGGAGGUUGCUGGGUUGGAGGUCGACCGAACGGGACCGGUGUGGCGGCGGUUGGUGGCCGGACGGCGGCGGGAGGACGGCCGGAAAACCGGGCAGCGGGAGGCUCGGGGAGAGGAAAAGAAAAAGAGGGAAGAAGAGAAAGGGAGGAGGAAAAAGAAAUGGGUUGGGCCUCCACCGGUCCAACCUAUAUCAACCCAAUUCAAAAAAAUAAAAACACCCCGAAAAAAUAAUACCCGAAUAAAAAUUACCUUUUACUAGCUAAAAUUUACCAUUUUUACCGUCGUCGUAUUUUCCUCAUACUAAUAAUCCUCCACACAUAAUCGUCCCCGAAACCCCUCUAGGGACCAAUUAAACUAUUUACUCAAUGAUCGAGACGGUAAAAUUCUUAUUAUAAUCACGCUAGUAAAUAAGGUAAAAAUAUAAGGGUCGGGAUGUGACACAUUAUGUAUCCUGGAUAACUCUGGAGGCAAGGCUAAUCGAUAAGCAAGUGAGCCAACUCGCUCUAUUAUCUCAUAAGGGCCAAUAAACCUCGGGUUAAGCUUUCCACGUUUACCAAAACGCACAACCCCUUUCCAAGGAGAUAAUUUCAGGAACACCCAAUCACCCACUUGAAAUUCAAGAUCUCUCCUACGGACAUCUGCAUAACACUUCUGCCUACUUUGAGCGGUCUUGAGUCUAUCUCUAACCAUUUUAAUCUUCUCAUUCGUAACAUGGAUUAACUCUCACUACCGGGGCAAGCACUUUAGCAGACUAAAAUUUUUGGUCGGCCUGUUAGCUUAAUUCGUCGGCUGAGAUCUUAGCCGACGAGACUUCGUCGGCUAUAGUUUCGUCGGGAAAGGCUCAUCGGCAAUGACUUUAGCCGACGAAACUAUAGCCCGUCGUCGGCUAUUGUCCCAUAGCUAGCCAAUAGCCGACGACAGAAGACGUCGUCGGCUUGUCUCUCAGACUUUAGCCGACGAGUCUUACAGACUUUAGCCGACGACGAGUUGUUUCGUCGGCUAGUCUCUAAACUUUAGCCGACGAAACAACUCGUCGGCUAGUUUCUUAUCUAUAGCCGACGAAACAACUCGUCGGCUAUUCUCUCAGCUUUAGCCGACGAAAUGCUUAAUAUAUUUGUCGGCUAUAGUAUGUAAUAAAAAAAAUAAAAAAUAACUAAAGCCGAUGAAAUAGACCGUAUUUCGUCAGCUUUUAAGGGUUUAGCCGACGAAACAUUCCAUUAUUCGUCGGCUAAACCCUAUUAAAAAAUAAUUAAAAAUACUAUAGCCGACGAAUUAUGGCGCAUUUCGUCGGUUAUAAGUCCAUUCCAGUAUAAAAAAAAACCUGAGAUUUUUAAAUUACCAUUCCAAGGAAGCUGCAAAAAACACAAAAACAAUUCCAUAUAACCAACAACAAGCACAUAAAAGUAUAUAAUUCAUCAACUACAUAAAAUCUAGUCGUCUAAAUUAAUAUCCGGUUCUAGGGGCUGCUGCGGAGCUUGCGGCGGCUGGGGUAACGGUAUGGGCGGAGGCAAGGGCGGAGCCGGAAGUCCCUAGAGCUGAGCAGCUGUAAAGUCCUGCGUGUACUGGAACAUCUGCCGCUGCUGGGCCUGAUGGAUGGCAUGUACCUCGGCAUUAUAGGCUGCCUGCGCGGCAUUAUAGGUUGCCUGCGCUGCAUUAUAGGCAACAUGAGCAGCUUGCUGUUCCCGUAGUCUCUGAAGUUCCGACUGUAGCAGCUGAGUCGUCCUGGUGGUCGUGGUCCUGCUGCUAGUCGAGGCUGCCUUUCGUUGAAAUCCUGGAGUGGUCUUCAGGACCCCCUCGCCCUUCUUUCCUAGACCCCGGCAGUAGAAGUUGUUUGCUCGCGGUGGGAAGGCUGUGCCCAUGAUCCUCGCCCCAACCGUCGGAUCCGAAGUGUCGAUCCGGGACAUGGCUUCGGACAUCUCUUCCUCCNNNNN